RNAcentral lists this ribosomal RNA (249 nucleotides) under uncultured bacterium. Its description in RNAcentral is "partial 16S ribosomal RNA". It matches the Rfam family "Bacterial small subunit ribosomal RNA", at positions 15 to 263 of the family's 1533-position model. The record is from RNAcentral.
GAUCCUGGCUCAGGACGAACGCUGGCGGCGUGCUUAACACAUGCAAGUCGAACGGAAAGGCCUAAGCUUGCUUGGGUACUCGAGUGGCGAACGGGUGAGUAACACGUGAGUGAUCUGCCCUCAACUUCGGGAUAAGCCUGGGAAACUGGGUCUAAUACUGGAUAGGACCAUCCUUUAGUGUGUGAUGGUGGAAAGUUUUUUCGGUUGGGGAUGAGCUCGCGGCCUAUCAGCUUGUUGGUGGGGUAAUGG